GACGAACGCUGGCGGCGUGCUUAACACAUGCAAGUCGAACGGUAAGGCCCUUCGGGGUACACGAGUGGCGAACGGGUGAGUAACACGUGGGUGAUCUGCCCUGCACUUCGGGAUAAGCCUGGGAAACUGGGUCUAAUACCGGAUAGGACUCCUGGCUUCAUGGUUGGGGGUGGAAAGCUUUUGCGGUGUGGGAUGGGCCCGCGGCCUAUCAGCUUGUUGGUGGGGUAAUGGCCUACCAAGGCGACGACGGGUAGCCGGCCUGAGAGGGUGACCGGCCACACUGGGACUGAGAUACGGCCCAGACUCCUACGGGAGGCAGCAGUGGGGAAUAUUGCACAAUGGGCGCAAGCCUGAUGCAGCGACGCCGCGUGAGGGAUGACGGCCUUCGGGUUGUAAACCUCUUUCAGUAGGGACGAAGCGCAAGUGACGGUACCUACAGAAGAAGGACCGGCCAACUACGUGCCAGCAGCCGCAGUAA
Molecule: ribosomal RNA, 478 nt
Filed under: uncultured bacterium
Lineage: Bacteria
Description: partial 16S ribosomal RNA
Rfam family: Bacterial small subunit ribosomal RNA
Source: RNAcentral